GACGAACGCUGGCGGCGUGCCUAAUACAUGCAAGUCGAACGCAGUGGGGACGGGGAAGUAACACGUGGGUAACCUCCAAUCAGAGGGGAUAACACUUGGAAACAGGUGCUAAACCGGUAUUGAUGGAUGGAGCCGGGGUGCAUUAGCUAGUUGGUGAGGUAAAGGCUCACCAAGGCGACGAUGCAUAGCCGGCCUGAGAGGAUGAUCAGCCACACUGGAACUGAGACACGGCCCAGACUCCUACGGGAGGCAGCAGUAGGGAAUCUUCGACAAUGGACGAAAGCCUGACCGAGCCACGCCGCGUGAGUGAAGAAGGUUUUCGGAUCGUAAAGCUCUGUUGGUAGGGAGGCGGUAUCUAAAGAGAAAGCAACGGCUAACUACGUGCCAGCAGCCGCGGUAAUUC
RNAcentral lists this ribosomal RNA (403 nucleotides) under uncultured bacterium. RNAcentral describes it as "partial 16S ribosomal RNA". It matches the Rfam family "Bacterial small subunit ribosomal RNA", at positions 28 to 526 of the family's 1533-position model. The record is from RNAcentral.